CUGCAACCUGCUCAGAACUUAUUAAAAACAUCACAGCUGUUAACAGAGAAACAAUGCUCUACUAAUGAGCCAAUCCAUCAAUUUGUGUCGCUCUGCUCCUCUUCAGCGAGAGAUGGAGCCAUAAAAUGGAGAAAAUAAGAUUUCAGCAGUGUGCAGGAGGAGACAGCCAGGCAGAUCAAAGUGUCAUUAAAGCACACAUACAAUCCAUCAAAAAGACAUCCACCUGCACACAGCCACCAACCCCAGCACACGGCCACUGCUGCUCUUUAGAAAACACCCACAGGUCUGUAAUCAGAGUGUGUCUGAGUGUGGGGGAGUGUAUGAGAGCAUGUCUGAGUGCUUGGGAGUGUUUAGGAGUGUCUGAGUGUAUGGGAGUGUGUGUGUGUGUGUGUGUGUGUGUGUGUGUGUGUGUAUAUGUUGGAGCGGGAGUGUGUUCAAGUGUGUUGGAGUGCUUGGGAGUGUGUGAGAUUGUGUCUGAGUGUGUUGGAGUGUGUGAGAGUGCAUGGAAGUGUUUGGGAGUGUGUGAGAGUGUGUGAGAGUGUGUGAGAGUGUGGGAGUGUGUCUGAGUGUGUGGGAGUGUAUGGGAGUGUGUGGGAGUGUAUGGGAGUGUGUGGGAGUGUAUGGGAGUGUGUGGGAGUGUGUGGGAGUGUAUGGGAGUGUGUGGGAGUGUUUGGGAGUGUGUGGGAGUGUGUGGGAGUGUGUUUGGGAGGGACAGAGAGAGACACUGAGAGUGACAGAGAGAGACACUGAAAGGGACAGAGAGAGACACUUGAAGACACUGAGAGGGACAGAGAGAGACACUGAAAGGGACAGAGAGAGACACAGAGAAAGACACUGAGAGGGACAGAGAGAGACACUGAAAGGGACAGCGAGAGACACUUGAGUGACAGAGAGAGACACUUAAAGGACAGAGAGAGAUACUGAGAGAGACACUGAGAGGGACAGAGAGAGACACUGAAAGGACAGAGAGAGACAUUGAGUGACAGAGAGAGACACUUAAAGGGACAGAGAGAGACACUGAGAGGGACAGAGAGAGAUACUGAGAGAGACACUGAGUGACAGAGAGAGACACUGAGUAACAGAGAGAGACACUGAAAGGGACAGAGAGAGACACUGAAUGACAGAGAGAGACACUGAGUAACAGAGAGAGACACUGAAAGGGACAGAGAAAGACACUGAUUGAAAGAAAGAGGCACUGAGGUACAGCGAGACACUGAAAGGGACUGAGAGAGACACUGCUUGACAGAGAGAGACACUGAAAGGGACUGAGGGACAGAGGGAGACACUGAAAGGGACAGAGAGAGACACAGAGAAAGACACUUAAAGGGACAGAGAGAGACACUGAAAGGGACAGCGAGAGACACUUGAGUGACAGAGAGAGACACUUAAAGGGACAGAGAGAGAUACUGAGAGAGACACUGAGAGGGACAGAGAGAGACACUGAAAGGGACAGAGAGAGACAUUGAGUGACAGAGAGAGACACUUAAAGGGACAGAGAGAGACACUGAGAGGGACAGAGAGAGAUACUGAGAGAGACACUGAGUGACAGAGAGAGACACUGAGUAACAGAGAGAGACACUGAAAGGGACAGAGAAAGACACUGAUUGAAAGAAAGAGGCACUGAGGUACAGCGAGACACUGAAAGGGACUGAGAGAGACACUGCUUGACAGAGAGAGACACUGAAGGGACUGAGGACAGAGGGAGACACUGAAAGGGAC
Molecule: long non-coding RNA, 1719 nt
Organism: Ictalurus punctatus (channel catfish)
Lineage: Eukaryota; Metazoa; Chordata; Actinopteri; Siluriformes; Ictaluridae
Source: Ensembl